GCCUUCUUGGCUCAGUUGGCUAGAGCGCAGGUCUCAUAAUCACGUGAGUGGUGGUAUCACCAUACAAUCCUGAGGUCGCAAGUUCGAGCCUUGCAGAGGGCA
Molecule: non-coding RNA, 102 nt
Organism: Arthromyces matolae
Lineage: Eukaryota; Fungi; Basidiomycota; Agaricomycetes; Agaricales; Lyophyllaceae
Source: the annotation of a GenBank genome assembly